Molecule: long non-coding RNA, 724 nt
Organism: Alligator mississippiensis (American alligator)
Lineage: Eukaryota; Metazoa; Chordata; Crocodylia; Alligatoridae
Exons: 3
Source: RefSeq, a predicted model, not a curated record
UAGCCCACAGGGAACCCCGAGAGUGGGACCCAUGCCAGCAGAACACAUGCAUCCGGCCCGACGGGGCCAGCCGAGGCAGCGGCGUUAACUGCAGCUGCCGGGAGAGCGGCGCUGAUAGCAGCACCGGCAGCAGCAGAGAGAGCUGCCACGUUAAAGGAGCCGGGGGAGAGAGCUGCGGCUAUAGCAGUGAAGAGUGCGCUCUUAAAGGAGCCGCGGAUAAAAAGGAAGAGAACGUCGGCAGCACGACAGGAGGAGGAACUGGUUACUGUCAUAGCAGGAGUGCGGGUGGCGGAACCGAAACAUCAACUGAAUAAUGAAAGUCAUGCAGUGAUUGGUGGCUUGCAGUUUUCCAGAUUGGAAGCAUUGAGUCAGUGGCCUCGAGGAUUUAUGAGUCAAAUGUCUCCUCUUGUGUAUUUUCUGAGAGAUGUAGCCAGCAGAAACAAAAACAUCUAAAACAAAAGUGGGGACUUGUAGUAACAAGCUGAAUUGGAAUGUAAUCACAAUCCAGCUGUCUUCACAACAGGAUUCUGAAUGGGAAGAGCAUUUGAAAAGGGGAGCAUAAGCAACAAGUACAAUAAUCAUAUUAAUUCAUGCAUUGAAAUACACAAAUGGAAUUUUCUAGAUGAAUUCAAGAAUACUUCUUUGUACAGAAAAACAUAAAUAAAGUUUAAUCAAAGUAUUGGUUUAAUCUUUGUGAAAUUAAUAUUGUAAGUAUGGGAAAUCA